Molecule: ribosomal RNA, 484 nt
Filed under: uncultured bacterium
Lineage: Bacteria
Description: partial 16S ribosomal RNA
Rfam family: Bacterial small subunit ribosomal RNA
Source: RNAcentral
AUUGAACGCUGGCGGCAUGCUUUACACAUGCAAGUCGAACGGUAACAGGGUGCUUGCACCGCUGACGAGUGGCGAACGGGUGAGUAAUGCAUCGGAAUGUACCGUGUAAUGGGGGAUAGCUCGGCGAAAGCCGGAUUAAUACCGCAUACGCCCUGAGGGGGAAAGUGGGGGACCGAAAGGCCUCACGUUAUACGAGCAGCCGAUGUCUGAUUAGCUAGUUGGUGAGGUAAAGGCUCACCAAGGCGUCGAUCAGUAGCGGGUCUGAGAGGAUGAUCCGCCACACUGGGACUGAGACACGGCCCAGACUCCUACGGGAGGCAGCAGUGGGGAAUUUUGGACAAUGGGCGCAAGCCUGAUCCAGCCAUGCCGCAUGUCUGAAGAAGGCCUUCGGGUUGUAAAGGACUUUUGUCCGGGAGCAAAUCCUAGUGGUUAAUAACCGCUGGGUCUGAGAGUACCGGAAGAAUAAGCACCGGCUAACUACGUG